Molecule: long non-coding RNA, 408 nt
Organism: Carassius carassius (crucian carp)
Lineage: Eukaryota; Metazoa; Chordata; Actinopteri; Cypriniformes; Cyprinidae
Exons: 2
Source: RefSeq, a predicted model, not a curated record
UCUUAAACCUCUCCCAACAUCAACAUUUGUAAUUCAUUCUGUACAAACAUUAUUAAAUGUUAUGCAUGAAUUCAAGUCUAUUGUUCACCGUUUUCAAUGUGAAUUGGCCAGGAGUCAUCAUUUUCUCGCUGCUAUUAAAAGAGGCUAUGUAGGUGACAUGCUCCUCUGUAUACAUCUGUAAAUACUUCUGCCACACUUUACAAUGUCCCGCCCCUGCAAGUACAUACUGCUAAUGGAACAGUUAUAAUAGCCUACUGUGUCUAAAAAAUACAAAAAAAUAUUUUACCUUUGUGUUUAUUUAAUAUGGUCAGUAACCAUUUAACAUAAACGCUGUAAUGUAAAGUUAUUUUCAUAUGUUUACUGAUGAGCCCUCUGAGAAAGACGGAAAAAUAAAUGUUUAUAAAAGCA